Molecule: long non-coding RNA, 1078 nt
Organism: Oreochromis aureus
Lineage: Eukaryota; Metazoa; Chordata; Actinopteri; Cichliformes; Cichlidae
Source: Ensembl
ACUAUCUAUCUAUCAGACCAGAGGAUGUCGCCCCCUGCUGGCAGUACUAAGAAUGCAGGUUUAAAAGGCUUCAGCAUCCAGGCUGUAACAUCUGAUGAAGUGGUUUUAAUUUAAAAAAGAAAAAUGAAAAGAAACAUAACUCCAGCCGUCCAUUUUUCCACUGCUUACUGGGUUCAGGUUGCAGGGCAGGACUCUGAGCAGAGGAGCCAAUGGAGUCAGUCCUCCUGUGGGGCUCCACCCAUGGCCCAACUGUAGGUGGCUGAGAGAUAACAGCUAGAUACAGCUGGGCAAUGGAACCAAUUUCCUGCAGUCGCCCUGGGCACGAGGCGGGGGGCUGGUGUUCCUGUAUCCCCUCAGUCCAUGAGAGAGUUGCUUCCCUGCAGCUCUGGGUCAGGGUCCUGACUGCUAUUUACCAAAUGCAGUUCAGAUUACCUACGUGGUGUCACCUGGUGGGGUGGGACUCCAUCGUUCUGCUGGGAGACUUCAACGCUCAGGCACUGGGAGACUGGGGACACGAGUCCGGGUGCACCUCCACUCCUGGAAGGAGCUGCAGCUCACGGUGGUUUUAACCCCAGAACCAUAAUGACAUCAUCAAAGAGAGACCAGCUUACACGAUCCUGCUGACUCUGACUGUGGAUCACUUCACUGGCACAAUUCACAUAAACUUAUUAAAGCAAACUAAACACACUUCAUUUCGUAUUAUAGGAGAUAAAUUCAGGUUGUAGGUUUUACUAUGAGCUCUGUGCUGAAAGGGCGCCAGAGGACGUCUGCCGAUGGUCCUUUAAUACACCUGAUAUAUACAUGACAUGCACGACUGACAAAUGCAGCUGUGUCACAGCAGAGUCAUGGAGACUGAACUUUAAAUUACAAAUCAAACAAGCAUUCAUAAUUUUUAUCAUCAGGUCAACAAGUGCAGAGAACUCAAGUCUGUCACCUUCAGAAGCAAAAUUAAUAAAAUGCAAAUAUUUAUAUUUAAAGUAAAGACAUUUAUUUUAAACCACAUCGCAGAGCCGUCCAUCAGGUUCGUACGGAGCUCUGAAGGCUGCUUCCUGUCAGAGAGCAGUUUGUUGGUUCGUCA